UACGUAGGGUGCAAGCGUUGUCCGGAAUUAUUGGGCGUAAAGAGCUCGUAGGCGGUCUGUCACGUCGGCUGUGAAAACCCGAGGCUCAACCUCGGGCCUGCAGUCGAUACGGGCAAACUAGAGUACUGCAGGGGAGACUGGAAUUCCUGGUGUAGCGGUGAAAUGCGCAGAUAUCAGGAGGAACACCGGUGGCGAAGGCGGGUCUCUGGGCCGGAACUGACGCUGAGGAGCGAAAGCGUGGGUAGCAAACAGG
RNAcentral lists this ribosomal RNA (253 nucleotides) under uncultured bacterium. RNAcentral describes it as "partial 16S ribosomal RNA". It matches the Rfam family "Bacterial small subunit ribosomal RNA", at positions 524 to 776 of the family's 1533-position model. The record is from RNAcentral.